GCAUAUCAAUAAGCGGAGGAAAAGAAACUAACAAGGAUUCCCCUAGUAACGGCGAGUGAAGCGGGAUGAGCUCAAAUUGAAAUCUGGCUGGUUUACUAGUCCGAGUUGUAAUUUAAAGAAGCGUUUUCGGUGGCAGCCUGGGUAUAAAUCCUUUGGAAUAGGGUAUCAUAGAGGGUGAGAAUCCCGUCUUUGACCUAGUGCAUGCUACUAUGUGAUACGUUUUCAAAGAGUCGAGUUGUUUGGGAAUGCAGCUCAAAAUGGGUGGUAAAUUUCAUCUAAAGCUAAAUAUUGGCGAGAGACCGAUAGCGAACAAGUACCGUGAGGGAAAGAUGAAAAGAACUUUGAAAAGAGAGUUAAACAGUGCGUGAAAUUGUUGAAAGGGAAACGU
Molecule: ribosomal RNA, 388 nt
Filed under: fungal sp. Cul1_38
Lineage: Eukaryota; Fungi
Description: eukaryotic LSU rRNA
Rfam family: Eukaryotic large subunit ribosomal RNA
Source: RNAcentral